Molecule: unclassified non-coding RNA, 514 nt
Filed under: Hevea brasiliensis (rubber tree)
Lineage: Eukaryota; Viridiplantae; Streptophyta; Magnoliopsida; Malpighiales; Euphorbiaceae
Source: RNAcentral
ACCAAACCCACAUGCAUACUAAAUUCCUAAUUAUAACUUCAACCACCUACCCCAAUAGAAAAGCCCCAUGCCCACACAAAUGAGAGGCUUAGUGACAACGGAUAGAGACCCAUCUAAUAGACCUGGCAUACUGAAGAGACAGCACCAUUGCCACCGCACCAGAAAACCAACAAAGCCAAAACACUGGGGAACUGCAAGCACACAGGAAGCACUGUACGGGGAAGCUCUGCCACCACGAAACAUACACGUCUUUAAAGCCACCGAAAAGAGGCAGAUUUCCCUGAAAAUAUCGUCUCCUUUGAUAAACAAGUGAGCCAAAAAAACAAACAGGCAAAAGCAACUGAAAAAAGUAGUUAGGAACCCAGUAGAUGCCAGUGAAAAGGAAAAGCAUAGCAGAGCUCAGGCCUCUCAAUCUCAUCUAUCCCAUUGAACUGCCGGUAAUUUUUUAUUUAUACCAUCAGACGCCCCUUUGAGAUGCAAGCAAAGAGGGCCACCCCCUGGAAUAGCUUCUAAA